GAUGAACGCUGGCGGCGUGCUUAACACAUGCAAGUCGAACGAAACACCUUAUUUGAUUUUCUUCGGAACUGAAGAUUUGGUGAUUGAGUGGCGGACGGGUGAGUAACGCGUGGGUAACCUGCCCUGUACAGGGGGAUAACAGUCAGAAAUGACUGCUAAUACCGCAUAAGACCACAGCACCGCAUGGUGCAGGGGAAAAAACUGCGGUGGUACAGGAUGGACCAGCCUCUGAUUAGCUGGAUGGUCAGGUAACGGCUCAGCGAGGAGACGAACAGUAGCCGGGAUGAGAAAGUGAACGGCCACCUUAGGACUGAGACACGGACCAAACUCCUACGGGAGGCAGCAGUGGGGAAUAUUGCACGAUGGGUGAAAGCCUGAUGCAGCGACGCCGCGUGAGUGAAGAAGUAUUUCAGUAUGUAAAGCUCUAUCAGAAGGGAAGAAAAUGACGGUACCUGCCUAAGAAGCGCCGGCUAACUACGUG
Molecule: ribosomal RNA, 481 nt
Filed under: uncultured bacterium
Lineage: Bacteria
Description: partial 16S ribosomal RNA
Rfam family: Bacterial small subunit ribosomal RNA
Source: RNAcentral